AGCUUUGCGCAGAGGCAGUGUCAUAGCCAAUGAGGUACUACCGAGGCGUGACUAUUGCUAGUUGAAAACUAUAUGAAAUGACUUUGCAAGCCAAUCAAUGGCACACCAUCUUCAGA
This 116-nucleotide small nuclear RNA is filed under the name Stegodyphus mimosarum. RNAcentral describes it as "U4 spliceosomal RNA". It matches the Rfam family "U4 spliceosomal RNA". Rfam says of the family: U4 small nuclear RNA (U4 snRNA) is a component of the major U2-dependent spliceosome. The structure of U4 snRNA from yeast and human has been reported. U4 snRNA presents a k-turn RNA motif in the 5p-SL related to recognition of Snu13 protein. The record is from Rfam by way of RNAcentral. Lineage: Eukaryota; Metazoa; Arthropoda; Arachnida; Araneae; Eresidae.